Molecule: long non-coding RNA, 1224 nt
Filed under: Mus musculus (house mouse)
Lineage: Eukaryota; Metazoa; Chordata; Mammalia; Rodentia; Muridae
Description: predicted gene, 30211
Source: RNAcentral
GUUUUCUCUUUCAUGUGAAGUGAAAUGGCUGUAGCCUAAUGUCCUUCUGAAAUCAAGAGACACAUCUUCACUUUCCAGACUGGGACCAGACUUUUGUGCCACGUUGUGACAUGCACACAUGCACACACAGGAAAGGACUUGGCUUGUGCCCACAUGCCUUUCUUCAGGGACAAGUGGGAAUGGACAUAAGGAGCGUCUCAUCCUUACGUGGCCUCCUUUGUCUUCCUCCUUCCUGGCCAAGACGGUGAUUUACUGCCCAAAGACAAGUCCAUCUGAAGCAAGAACUGACUAUCGAGGACUCUGUAGUGACUGAUAAACUGGGAAGAGAAAAUUGGACCAGAGACUUCAAGGCAGCUCUCAGACAAGAAUAUUCCAGUGCCAGAGAGAAAGACAUUAAAAAUGAAGAGACAUGCAGAGAGUGCACCAUGCCAUCGUGGAGACAGACUGAAGUGACACAACUGUUAGUCAAAGAGGAUUAAGGACUUCCAGAAGCCACCAAAGGAAGGAGAUGGCUGUCUUCAUAUUUGUUCUAGACAUUGGUUCUACUCAAGUCAAGGCAAGUCAUCUGACCUUCACCAAGAAAGUCCAGCAUCCAGGAAAGGAAAUUGUAUGUUUGGAUAUGUGAAGAAGCAGAACUGUCUAGAGACUUGCUCAAGUGGAAGUCACCUCUCACACCUGCCCUAUGCAGUCAGGCCUUCUGUGCACACAAUCAAUUGCCUGGAUUAAUGUCACAGGAAAUCCACUCUACUGAUCAGCUGUGCUGGCUCUCCACAGUCUCCAUCGUUGUGAGGAUCCAUCUGCUCUCCCUGGGAGAUGAAGCCAAUGCCUCCCAUGCUGGGCUCCCUGGGGAUCAUCUCUCAGUGUGGAGAGCCUGCUCCAGCCCCUGAAGUGGAAAGCUACUACUUAACCAAACACACAGCCUAACAGCUGGGAUUAAAUGACCUGAAAGGUAAAAUCUCUGCCUCCAGCAAACAGAAUUACCAAUUAGGCUUUGUUGUCAAGCCAUGUGUAUGCUGUAAAAACAGGUUAAGCCAUGGUGAGAAUGUGCUAUGCUUACACAGCUGUCUGGGAUUAAUUAGUGAGGGUAUGUCUGGGAUAGCUGCAUGUUUUGAUCAAGCCAAUUCUCUCUAACUCCCACAUGUGUGUGUCUACUUGUAUCCUUGAGUCAUUUCUGAAUAUGUUAAAGAAAAGGAACUACAGACGAAUACAUGUUCUUUUUACUGA